CACAAGCAGGGGGAGUAGCAGAGAGAGAGAGAGAGAGAGAGAGAGAGAGAAGAGAAGCAAACUCCCCACUGGGCAGGGAGACCAAUGCCGGGCUCAGUCCCAAGACUCCAGGAUCAUGACCUGAGCCAAAGGCAGACGCGAAAGCGACUGAGCCACCCACGUGCCCCGAGAAAUCAUUUUUUUAAAUAUUGUAUUUAUUUAUUUUUAAGUAGGCUCCACGUGCGAGUGGGACUUGAACACAGGACCCCGUUCUACAGCUUACAUGCUAUGAGGCUAAAAGGCUAAAUGUCAAGUGAGGCCGGGCUGUGGUUCCCCACGCCCUGGCCCCAGCCAGCCUGGAGGGUCCCGCAGUGACGACGUGAGAGGAGCCUCCUGGGCCCUGGGACGACUCAGCGCCAGCCCCCGGCGCCAGCCCCACGCCCGGUUCCCGGGCGCCCCCCUAGGCGGGCCACAGCGAGAGGCCGAGGGCGCCUGGCCUGCAGCCAGGUUCCGCCGCCCGCCGCGCUCUAGGGCUCCGCGCGCGGAGGGGCGGGCCAUUCAAAUUAGGAAGGGCCUUGCGGGGCCGGCGACGACGCGACGACGGACGCAUCGUUUGUCUUUUAAAAGGAAGAGACUUUACAAAGCCGCACGAGAGCCUAGCGGCUAGUGCCGCCCGUGCCACGGUGGGAGAAGCGGGGGAGCGAGACGUGGCCGGAGCGGGAGCCGAGUCACCAGGCGGGCCCCCUUCAGGCUGCUGGACAGUCUGCUGCCUGAACUCAAGAAAGGCCUCCUCGAUGCUAUGUGCCAAGACCGAAAUGAAAGAGACAGACAGGCCUCCUACCCCGAGAAGUCUUUUUUGUCUUUUAAAGCUUGAUUUAGGGCAGCCCCGGUGUCCUAGUGGUUUAGCGCCACCUGCAGCCAGGCGUGUGAUCCUGGAGACCCGAGAUCGAGUCCCAUGUCGGGCUCCCUGCAUGGGGCUUGCUUCUCCCUCUGCCUGUGUCUCUGCCUCUCUCUCUCUCUGUGACUAUCAUAAAUAAAU
Molecule: long non-coding RNA, 1018 nt
Filed under: Vulpes vulpes (red fox)
Lineage: Eukaryota; Metazoa; Chordata; Mammalia; Carnivora; Canidae
Description: lncRNA (ENSVVUG00000017386.1)
Source: RNAcentral